RNAcentral lists this ribosomal RNA (442 nucleotides) under uncultured bacterium. RNAcentral describes it as "partial 16S ribosomal RNA". It matches the Rfam family "Bacterial small subunit ribosomal RNA", at positions 338 to 795 of the family's 1533-position model. The record is from RNAcentral.
CCUACGGGAGGCAGCAGUAGGGAAUCUUUCACAAUGGGCGAAAGCCUGAUGGAGCAACGCCGCGUGCAGGAUGAAGGCCUUCGGGUUGUAAACUGCUUGUAUAAGCGAGAAAUAUGAUGGUAACUUAUGAAUAAGGAUCGGCUAACUACGUGCCAGCAGCCGCGGUCAUACGUAGGAUCCGAGCAUUAUCCGGAGUGACUGGGUGUAAAGAGUUGCGUAGGUGGCAUAAUAAGUAGCUAGUGAAAUCUGGUGGCUCAACCAUUCAGACUAUUAGCUAAACUGUUAAUCUCGAGACCGUUAGGGGUAACUGGAAUUUCUAGUGUAGGAGUGAAAUCCGUAGAUAUUAGAAGGAACACCAAUAGCGUAGGCAGGUUGCUGGGACGGUUCUGACACUAAGGCACGAAAGCGUAGGGAGCAAACGGGAUUAGAUACCCGGGUAGUC